This 465-nucleotide ribosomal RNA is filed under the name Vreelandella stevensii. RNAcentral's name for it is "partial 16S ribosomal RNA". It matches the Rfam family "Bacterial small subunit ribosomal RNA", at positions 338 to 795 of the family's 1533-position model. The record is from RNAcentral. Lineage: Bacteria; Pseudomonadati; Pseudomonadota; Gammaproteobacteria; Oceanospirillales; Halomonadaceae.
CCUACGGGUGGCAGCAGUGGGGAAUAUUGGACAAUGGGCGAAAGCCUGAUCCAGCCAUGCCGCGUGUGUGAAGAAGGCCUUCGGGUUGUAAAGCACUUUCAGUGGGGAAGAAAGCCUUGGGGCUAAUACCCUCGAGGAAGGACAUCACCCACAGAAGAAGCACCGGCUAACUCCGUGCCAGCAGCCGCGGUAAUACGGAGGGUGCGAGCGUUAAUCGGAAUUACUGGGCGUAAAGCGCGCGUAGGCGGUCUGAUAAGCCGGUUGUGAAAGCCCCGGGCUCAACCUGGGAACGGCAUCCGGAACUGUCAGGCUAGAGUGCAGGAGAGGAGGGUAGAAUUCCCGGUGUAGCGGUGAAAUGCGUAGAGAUCGGGAGGAAUACCAGUGGCGAAGGCGGCCUUCUGGACCGACACUGACGCUGACGUGCGAAAGCGUGGGUAGCAAACAGGAUUAGAUACCCCGGUAGUC